This 111-nucleotide small nuclear RNA is filed under the name Pogona vitticeps (central bearded dragon). Lineage: Eukaryota; Metazoa; Chordata; Lepidosauria; Squamata; Agamidae. The record is from RNAcentral.
GUGCUCGCUUCGGCAGGCAGCACAUAUACUAAAAUUGGAACGAUACAGAGAAGAUUAGCAUAGCCUCUGUGCAAGGAUGACACGCAAAUUUGUGAAGCAUUCCAUUUUUUA